Molecule: ribosomal RNA, 1285 nt
Filed under: Arthrobacter sp.
Lineage: Bacteria; Bacillati; Actinomycetota; Actinomycetes; Micrococcales; Micrococcaceae
Description: bacterial SSU rRNA
Rfam family: Bacterial small subunit ribosomal RNA
Source: RNAcentral
UCCCCAGCUUGCUGGGGGGAUUAGUGGCGAACGGGUGAGUAACACGUGAGUAACCUGCCCAAGACUCUGGGAUAAGCCUGGGAAACUGGGUCUAAUACUGGAUGCCGACUUUCUGCCGCAUGGUGGGGGGUUGAAAGAUUUUAUUGGUUUUGGAUGGACUCGCGGCCUAUCAGCUUGUUGGUGGGGUAAUGGCCUACCAAGGCGACGACGGGUAGCCGGCCUGAGAGGGUGACCGGCCACACUGGGACUGAGACACGGCCCAGACUCCUACGGGAGGCAGCAGUGGGGAAUAUUGCACAAUGGGCGAAAGCCUGAUGCAGCGACGCCGCGUGAGGGAUGACGGCCUUCGGGUUGUAAACCUCUUUCAGUAGGGAACAAGGCCAGGCUUUUGUUUGGUUGAGGGUACUUGCAGAAGAAGCGCCGGCUAACUACGUGCCAGCAGCCGCGGUAAUACGUAGGGCGCAAGCGUUAUCCGGAAUUAUUGGGCGUAAAGAGCUCGUAGGCGGUUUGUCGCGUCUGCCGUGAAAGUCCGGGGCUCAACCCCGGAUCUGCGGUGGGUACGGGCAGACUAGAGUGAUGUAGGGGAGACUGGAAUUCCUGGUGUAGCGGUGAAAUGCGCAGAUAUCAGGAGGAACACCGAUGGCGAAGGCAGGUCUCUGGGCAUUAACUGACGCUGAGGAGCGAAAGCAUGGGGAGCGAACAGGAUUAGAUACCCUGGUAGUCCAUGCCGUAAACGUUGGGCACUAGGUGUGGGGGACAUUCCACGUUUUCCGCGCCGUAGCUAACGCAUUAAGUGCCCCGCCUGGGGAGUACGGCCGCAAGGCUAAAACUCAAAGGAAUUGACGGGNGGCCCGCACAAGCGGCGGAGCAUGCGGAUUAAUUCGAUGCAACGCGAAGAACCUUACCAAGGCUUGACAUGAACUGGAAACGCCCGGAAACGGGUGCCCCGCUUGCGGCCGGUUUACAGGUGGUGCAUGGUUGUCGUCAGCUCGUGUCGUGAGAUGUUGGGUUAAGUCCCGCAACGAGCGCAACCCUCGUUCCAUGUUGCCAGCGGGUUAUGCCGGGGACUCAUGGGAGACUGCCGGGGUCAACUCGGAGGAAGGUGGGGACGACGUCAAAUCAUCAUGCCCCUUAUGUCUUGGGCUUCACGCAUGCUACAAUGGCCGGUACAAUGGGUUGCGAUACUGUGAGGUGGAGCUAAUCCCAAAAAGCCGGUCUCAGUUCGGAUUGGGGUCUGCAACUCGACCCCAUGAAGUCGGAGUCGCUAGUAAUCGCAGAUCAGCAA